AUGGAGUAUUCAGAUACAGUCAAGUACCACAGAGUUCCUCAAGAUGCAAUCAUGUGCAGGUUGUUUACAUUCUCUCUCUGUGAUGAUGCUCGUGCUUGGUACCGAUCCUUGCCAUCAAGGUCAUACAGUUGGAUUGAGAUAUCACAAGCAUUCUUGGAUAAAUAUUUCUCACUACACAAGCAGUCCGUGAUUCGAGAUGAUAUCUUCAACUUUGUUCAGCGUGAAGGUGAGAGUUUGUAUGAUGCUUGGGAGAGGUACAAUGCCUUGUUCAGGAGAUGUCCUAAUCAUGGGAUCGAGAGAUGGUUAGAGCUGCAGAUAUUCUAUAGAGGAUUGACUUCGGACACUCGCGAUUACAUUGAUAUGGCAGCGGGUGGAGCUAUUACAAACAAGACACUUGAUGAUGCUUUUCUGCUGAUUGAGAGCAUAGCUUUCCACCAACUUCAGUGGUAG
Molecule: ribosomal RNA, 450 nt
Filed under: Triticum aestivum (bread wheat)
Lineage: Eukaryota; Viridiplantae; Streptophyta; Magnoliopsida; Poales; Poaceae
Description: partial small subunit ribosomal RNA
Source: RNAcentral